ACUAGGGAUCGGGCGACGUUAUUUUUGACUCGCUCGGCACCUUACGAGAAAUCAAAGUCUNUGGGUUCUGGGGGGAGUAUGGUCGCAAGGCUGAAACUUAAAGGAAUUGACGGAAGGGCACCACCAGGAGUGGAGCCUGCGGCUUAAUUUGACUCAACACGGGGAAACUCACCAGGUCCAGACAUAAUAAGGAUUGACAGAUUGAUAGCUCUUUCUUGAUUAAUGG
Molecule: ribosomal RNA, 226 nt
Filed under: uncultured fungus
Lineage: Eukaryota; Fungi
Description: partial 18S ribosomal RNA
Rfam family: Eukaryotic small subunit ribosomal RNA
Source: RNAcentral